Molecule: transfer RNA, 60 nt
Filed under: Acropyga fuhrmanni
Lineage: Eukaryota; Metazoa; Arthropoda; Insecta; Hymenoptera; Formicidae
Description: tRNA-Ser
Source: RNAcentral
GAAAUAAAAUCAAAUUGAACUUCUAAUUCAAUAAUUUAAUGAUUAAAUCAUUUUAUUUCU